RNAcentral lists this ribosomal RNA (578 nucleotides) under uncultured bacterium. Its description in RNAcentral is "bacterial SSU rRNA". It matches the Rfam family "Bacterial small subunit ribosomal RNA", at positions 153 to 755 of the family's 1533-position model. The record is from RNAcentral.
GAAAUCUUAGCUAAUCCUGGAUGUGAACCUCAGCUGUGGCUGAUGUUUAAAGCUUCGGCGCUUUGGGAUGGGCCUGCGGCGCAUCAGGUAGUUGGUGGGGUAACGGCCCACCAAGCCGACGACGCGUAGCUGGUCUGAGAGGACGACCAGCCACAGGGGUACUGAGACACGGACCCCACUCCUACGGGAGGCAGCAGUUAGGAAUCUUCCGCAAUGGGCGAAAGCCUGACGGAGCGAUACCGCUUGAAGGACGAAGCCCUUCGGGGUGUAAACUUCUGAACUCGGGACGAUAAUGACGGUACCGAGGUAAUAGCACCGGCUAACUCCGUGCCAGCAGCCGCGGUAAUACGGAGGGUGCGAGCGUUACCCGGAUUUACUGGGUGUAAAGGGCGUGUAGGCGGUCUCUCAAGUCCGAUGCUAAAGACCGAAGCUCAACUUCGGGGGUGCGUUGGAUACUGUGAGGCUAGACGGUCGGAGAGGGUAGCGGAAUUUCCGGAGUAGCGGUGAAAUGCGCAGAUACCGGAAGGAACGCCAAUAGCGAAAGCAGCUACCUGGACGAUUUGUGACGCUGAGGCGCG